Molecule: ribosomal RNA, 253 nt
Filed under: uncultured bacterium
Lineage: Bacteria
Description: partial 16S ribosomal RNA
Rfam family: Bacterial small subunit ribosomal RNA
Source: RNAcentral
UACAGAGGUCCCAAGCGUUGUUCGGAUUCAUUGGGCGUAAAGGGUGCGUAGGCGGCGCGGGAAGUCGGGUGUGAAAUCUCGGAGCUUAACUCCGAAACUGCAUUCGAUACUGCCGUGCUUGAGGACUGGAGAGGAGACUGGAAUUUACGGUGUAGCGGUGAAAUGCGCAGAUAUCGGGAGGAACACCAGUGGCGAAGGCGGAACUCUGGGCCGGAACUGACGCUGAGGAGCGAAAGCGUGGGGAGCGAACAGG